GUGCGGACCUGUUGAGCCCCUUCAGUACUCCAGAGAAGGAAACACUGACACCUAGCAGGAAUUAAGUUGCUCAAGGUCUCACCGUAUUCUAGUUUUGCAUUUAAAUCCAAUUUAUGUUACCUGGGUACCUCUCAGGACCACAACGAGAAGUCUCGAAACUAAUUAUAUGGGAUCGUACGCCAGUGGGAUGGCAGAAGGAAGCAGCUUCCAAACCUUCUUUGGUGGCCUCAUGGAAGCCAAGGCUUUUGAUGCUGUGCUCAGUGAUGGGGACUGUCUGGCUAGGAAAGUUUAAAGCAAUCACACUGUCAGCGGCUCCUAGAGACUGGAAGGCUUCCAAGUACCGCGUCAGACGGGACAGGAACAGGAAAAAUGGUCCUCAAAGCUACAACAGCCCUCUGGCCUUCACUGUGGUUGCGAGGAUAAUGGCAGUAGCCAUGACUCCCACAUGGGAGGAGACACACGCGCGCGCGCACACACACACACACACACACACAUUCCUUAGAGAGUCAGUUUCCGUGCCCCAGCCUCUUGUUUUUG
RNAcentral lists this long non-coding RNA (537 nucleotides) under Rattus norvegicus (Norway rat). RNAcentral describes it as "long non-coding RNA NONRATT012298". The record is from RNAcentral. Lineage: Eukaryota; Metazoa; Chordata; Mammalia; Rodentia; Muridae.